UCUCAGUGCAACGCUGGUAAAAACGUUGUUAAAGGGUUAAUAGAAGAGCCAUAUUAUGAUGACUUCCUGGAGAUGGAGUUUCAGAAAUAGCAGGAGUAUUUAAAGAGACAUAGGCCCAAUGGCAAAGCAUUAAAUUACAAAGUAAAAUUUAUUUUAAGUCGUAUUUGAUAUAUACAGCACUUUUAUAACAAGUUUUAUAACAUAGUUAAAUUUCUGUGCUAUAAAAUGACACUAUGUGCCCAGAAAACGCAUAAUACCGUUUCUUUAAAACCAUUAUGAAAGAAAAUUGAGGGUGAAUUCACACCACCCCUGCUUAGUACGUUUAAAUUGAACCCUGGUUCGUUUACCGAGAGAGCUCUGUUUGUUUGAACUCUGUUUCCACCUAAAAACCUCCGUUUUGGUUUGAUAGUGAAUGCCAAGAUGCCCAGUGACGACUCAAAAAAGCAGGAAGCCAAUUAUAGCACA
Molecule: long non-coding RNA, 465 nt
Organism: Xiphophorus couchianus (Monterrey platyfish)
Lineage: Eukaryota; Metazoa; Chordata; Actinopteri; Cyprinodontiformes; Poeciliidae
Exons: 2
Source: RefSeq, a predicted model, not a curated record